This is a long non-coding RNA of Pogoniulus pusillus (Red-fronted tinkerbird), 1088 nucleotides long. RefSeq lists it as uncharacterized. NCBI's taxonomy places the organism in Eukaryota, Metazoa, Chordata, Aves, Piciformes, Lybiidae. The record is from RefSeq and is a predicted model, not a curated record. The transcript is spliced from 4 exons.
CUGACCAAAGGGAUAUUCCAGGCCAUAUGACAUGGUGAUCAGCACACACAGCUGGGGGAAGGAGGAGGAUGAGGGCACAUGUUUUGGAGUGGGAGUGAGCAAGCAGCCGUCUGGAGGUUAGUUGCUGUCUGAGGCUAAAUCAUGGCAACCUGGAAAAUGAGUUGUACUACGUGAAGAAUGUAUAAGAGUUUUUCCCCUCUCUGUGAAACUGAAAAGAUUAGUAUUAGAAACCUGACUUGGAUCCAGUCCAGUCUAUUGAUCUGCUUUCAGAAACACCUGAGCUUGAAGCAGGAUCUGCAGCUCUCUCACAGCCUUUGGACAGUUCAUCUGACACGCUGAGGAGGCUGCCCAGCAGCAGGUUGUCCAUGUUCCUGCUGUGAAAUACAAGAUGUGUGUCCUCCCUGACUCACUGCCACCAGACCUGACCCUGGCUGCUGUGGAUGUGUGAAUAAUACAGGAGUCUGCAGAUAAGCAGAGGUUUGUGAACAACAGAAGGCCACUGCUGCUGGGGAUAAUGUUCUCCCAGGAGAAGUGAAACUAUGCACCACAGGUCUGGUAUCUCAAGUACUAUGUCUCUGAGAAAAAGCUGACUCAUACUUCCAUAUCAUCAGUGGGACUGGUAAGAGCAAUUAUCUCAUUGGUGACAUUGUUUGAUGAUGUUUUCUAGCUGACACACCAGGUGUCACAGCAUUGCUACAAAGCCCCUUUACUAGUCAUGCCCAGCCUGGUGGCUUAGGGGUCCGACAUGUCUGGCAGUUGGAAUCACACAAUUAUAUCAAUAUUGGAGGAUAUCCUUCCCCUGCUGCAUGGUGUUAAGUGUCCAUGGUGUCUUCUUAGGACAAGAGACAGUAGUCUCCGUAGAGUGCAGCCUCACAUAUUUAAUCUGUCCCAAAACUGCACAGGAAAAUGAACACUGAUCCAGCUGGAAGGCUGUCAGCACAGUUUACUCACAGCUACUUGUUCCUUUACCACUACAUUGGGUCCUCUACUUCACUAUAAACAACUUAUGCAAUAAUUAUGGUUGAAAUUUAAUUCCUAUGAACACCUGAGGGCUGAAAUUAAAUACAUUUUUUAUUGUUUCCAAAAUA